Molecule: long non-coding RNA, 1533 nt
Filed under: Gopherus agassizii (Agassiz's desert tortoise)
Lineage: Eukaryota; Metazoa; Chordata; Testudines; Testudinidae
Description: lncRNA (ENSGAGG00000021417.1)
Source: RNAcentral
CUUCUUCUUACCUUUUUGCUGCUUAUUCUCACUCUCCAGCUCCUGAUGCCUCUCUCCUGCUGUGCGUGAGAUGGUUUGCACACAGCGUUGUGUUCCAACAAUCCAUAGACUGGAUCCAGGCUGACUUUCCUUGUGCUGCAAUCCCCACAUGCUUCCCUCUCUGUGGAGAUUUGAGCAGCAGCAUGGCCACCAUUUAAGUACUCACCACAAAGUCUCUGCUAGAUUCCCAAUGCCCGGCUUUGGAAACAAAGCAGCGUUAGAGGAGAGGUUUAUCCCAUAAACACACAAGAGCCAUAGUGCAGUCUGUACUGAAAUCUAGCAACUCACUUGAUUUUCCCCAUGCUUGGGGAAAAAAAUGAAGCAGACAGGCUCCUCUAUCAAAUUAGAAGGGAAGGGGUGUGUGAUUUAACUGACAGUAACCAGGACUCAGCCUUUUUAGGCCUACAACAUGUGCUGUGACACCUUGCGCAAAGUCAUAAUUUCCAGGAGUCCUUUUCCCUAGCUGUACCGUAGGGAUUACUCGUCCACCUCACUGCAAGGAGGGGGAGGUUGUAAGACAGACCCAAUGCUUUGGGCUCAGUAGAGGUAACUGGAUUAAAUCCUCUGGCCUGUGUUAUGCAGGUCAGCCUCAUCUAAUGGUCCCUCUUCUGCCUUUAAUUGAUGACUCUCUCAAGGAAGUUUUGGAGGUUCAUGGAGGAAAGGUUUGAGAAUUAAGUAGCGUGAAAGGACUGGAGGUAAAGGCAAACUUCUACCAGUAUUACUGUAUUAAGGAAGAUUUUCAAGUAUCCGCCGCCUUUUAAAAUGAACAAACAUUCCAACAUGCCUGCUAUAGCUUUCUUUCGAACAAGUGGUAAUGGGAUAAUAGGGUAUCUCGGAACUGAUUCUUUGUGAUUCAAUUCCAUUUUCUACAUACAGCGCACUUUCUAAUGUAAGAAGUGUCUGGGUCUGGGGAAGGUUAGCCUCAAGAGGAGAAAUGGUUCUAGAAAUCAGAUGAUGAGUGUCGACUGUUAACAAAUCAGGGAAUUAGCACCAUGUCCAAACGGUGGGGGGAAAGCCAGCACAAGACAGACGAGUGCCUCUAAGAGCCUUACGUAAGGUAUUUCACGUAAGGGAAGGUCUAAUUCUAUAUUAGUGGGAAUUUCACUAUUCGAAUACCCUUCCUACCCUAGCUCUAGGAACUUUUUUCCACACUUAGGUCUUUUCUACAAUUAAGAUGGACACUUCCCCUGCCCAAUGCUGCAGUGAACAUGAGACCCUCACCAAAUUUGUUUCACCUAAGCAUUCCCAUGGCCACUAGCACCACCUAUCUGUCAGCGUGCUCUGCCAGCUGAACAAACCAAUUCGCUUCCCCCUUUUUCAUUUGGGAAGAUAGCACCUGGAGGACAGAGGGCUUGGAGUGCAGUUUAGGAAAAAAAUAUUACCACAGAGUCUCCCUCCCACGUUGCAAGAAUGUUUAUGAGGUCACAGAUCACCAGCCUAGGCCAGGCCAGAUGAGAACACAAUAAAAUGAUCCUCCCUGAUUAUAAAUACCCA